Molecule: ribosomal RNA, 467 nt
Filed under: uncultured bacterium
Lineage: Bacteria
Description: partial 16S ribosomal RNA
Rfam family: Bacterial small subunit ribosomal RNA
Source: RNAcentral
GAUGAACGCUGGCGGCGUGCUUAACACAUGCAAGUCGAACGGAAAGGCCCAAGCUUGCUUGGGUACUCGAGUGGCGAACGGGUGAGUAACACGUGGGUGAUCUGCCCUGCACUUCGGGAUAAGCCUGGGAAACUGGGUCUAAUACCGGAUAGGACCACUUCUUGGAUGUUGUGGUGGAAAGUUUUUUCGGUGUGGGAUGAGCUCGCGGCCUAUCAGCUUGUUGGUGGGGUAAUGGCCUACCAAGGCGUCGACGGGUAGCCGGCCUGAGAUGGUGUACGGCCACAUUGGGACUGAGGGACGGCCGAGGCGGCUACGGGAGGCAGCAGUGGGGAAUAUUGCACAAUGGGCGCAAGCCUGAUGCAGCGACGCCGCGUGGGGGAUGGCGGCCUUCGGGUUGUAAACUCCUUUCGCUAGGGACGAAGCGUUUUGUGACGGUACCUGGAGAAGAAGCACCGGCUAACUACGUG